RNAcentral lists this unclassified non-coding RNA (2326 nucleotides) under Dimorphilus gyrociliatus. RNAcentral describes it as "dgyrCDS81". The record is from RNAcentral. Lineage: Eukaryota; Metazoa; Annelida; Polychaeta; Dinophilidae.
GAUUUGCACCUGGUCAACGUAGUCGAAGAUAUGAAGGCGAGAGAAGCUAGUCAGAGUUUCCAUGCAGAAAGGAAAAAAGGAGUGAGAACUUUGGUACCAAUUCCAAUCGGCUGUGUUCUUGGACUGAUAACUGAAGAUAUAGAAAUAGGUCAAAACCUCACAGACGCAAAAUUGGUUGAACCAAAACUUAAGGUAAACUUUAAAAUACUUAAACUCGUUUUUUUUGUUAUUUAUAUAUAAAGUAACCUAAGAAUCUUGGCACGCAAUAUUUUUAUUGUGUAUAUUAUAAAUUAAAGUUACGCCUUGCGUGUUUUCUCUUUCUAAUGCAAUUACAAAAUGUGACAACCCGCACGACUCGUAGAGACGAAAAACUGUUUUGCAGACAAUAAGUGUCGCUUUUUUUAACAAUUAUAACUUUAUAUUAUUGACAUCAUUGAACUACAACAAUAGAAAGCAAAAAAAAAGUAUCUCUAAAAAAAACAAUACGAUGAUUUUUGCGUUUUGUUUCUUUCCUAAACUUUUCCGAAAGUCUUUUUCAACAACAUUUAACAUCUGCUACAUUUGACAAGUUGAUGACCAGCAUCGCCUACAUCCCGAUCAUCCAUUGUACAGAAGAGCUUUUGUUAAUGAGAAAGGAAAGUGAAAAGGUAUAUAUCCCAUGAUAAUCCAGGCUAUUGUUAAUUGUAUGGAAAUUUUCUUUCUCUUUUUAUACAAAUAUCCUAAAGACGCAUUUAAACAAUACGUAUACAUUAUAAGUGUGUGUAUGUAUAGUUAAUUUCCGUAGAAGAACGCCGUCGGCCACGUGCGUUAUAGCUGGUGUGUCUCGAGUCAACAAAACGCCGUUCGUAUUUAUUGGUUUUAUUCAUUGCCUAAUUCUAAAGCGAUUUUCCUACAUGUUUACCCGGCUAUUCGUUGUGGGUGUUCAUACAAUUUUUACACGCAAACAAAUUUUUAUAGACGUACCAAGGACGUACGUGUAUGUUUAUAAUCUGCCGUCUACGCCCCCAUCUCAUCUUUCAUAUUAAAUUCAAAUAAAGAUAAUUUCGCUAAACUAUCAUUUUCCCUUUAUCAUAAUAGCUAAAGGCUUCGUACGAUGGUCAGCUAACUUGUUCGGAAGAUGGAUGGCUGGAAGAAAUUCGACCUGCCAGAAAUAGGCACGAACAGAAUGUUGAAGCAGUGAGAGGGGAAAAGAGAAAGCUAGUAUUACGAACCAUCAGGUCAAUUCAUUGCGGACAGGAAAUCUUCGUUUGGUAUGGUGAAGAGCUAGGAAGAGAAAUGAAUAUUCCUAUUUUAUCCCCAGCUAAUAUCAAAGGCUCAAAUGACUAUCGAUGUUCAUCUUGCUCAGCCUCUUUUCAACACCCAAAUGUCCUGAAGGCUCACAUUCGAUUUAAGUGUUCCAGCAAUCUGGGAAGCUUACUUGGGGGUUCAGACGAACCUUUGAAUUUAUCAAAGAGAACCUCUAUUCAGCAGCAGCAACAUCAACCUAUUCAAAUAUUUAAUCAUAUUCAUGCACCCGCCUUUGCUUUACCAGCCGCACUGCUCUACCCGACAUUGUAUCCUACGUCAACUCCAUUCUAUCCUCAAUUUCUUACUUCUGGACCGUCUCCGCCUGCUCCUCAAGUAAAAAAUGAGCCAAAUACCGAAACGCACCUGCCACCCACCUUCCCCUUACCAAGCGAGAAGGAUGGCGAACCUAUCGACCUUCUACCGCGUUCCCUUUACAUGAACAAGUCGAAUAAGGGUCACCUGUGUAUAUACUGCGGAAAGUUGUACUCGCGCAAGUACGGACUCAAGAUCCACUUGCGCACGCACACCGGAUACAAGCCGCUUAAAUGUAAGAUUUGCCUUCGACCGUUCGGAGAUCCGAGCAAUCUCAAUAAACACAUAAGGCUACACGCUGAGGGCGAUACGCCCUACCGUUGUCAUUUAUGUGGAAAGGUUCUAGUCCGAAGAAGAGAUUUAGAUAGGCAUAUAAGGUCAAGGCAUCCAGUAGAUUCAACAAAAAAUCACUCAGAUAGCCUCCCACCAGAAGAAGAGGAAGAAGAGGAAAUGGAAGAAUUAGAAGCUAUUGAAGGAGAGUUGAGUGACGGAGGUGUUGCUGAUGAUGAGGAAGAAAUCGAAGUUGUUGUUUGAGCAACAGCUGCAAUUACUUUUCAAUCUGCCGCCAAUAAAAAGCGGUCAUAAUAAAGAUGUACGAUGACGUAUAGCGGUUGUUUUUACCGCUUCUGUCAAAAUCCCCUAACAAGGGACUCUGUCUGUCGAUACAUGUGGGCGUGGCUAAAUAAAAAGAAUUUAAUCCUCCUAUUUAUUUACGCCUUUAUCAGCG